UACGUAGGGGGCAAGCGUUGUCCGGAAUCAUUGGGCGUAAAGAGCGCGUAGGCGGUCCGUUAAGUCCGCUCUGAAAGUCCGGGGCUCAACCCCGGGAGGCGGGCGGAUACUGUCGGGCUAGAGUCCGGAAGAGGCGAGUGGAAUUCCUGGUGUAGCGGUGAAAUGCGCAGAUAUCAGGAGGAACACCAAUGGCGAAGGCAGCUCGCUGGGACGGUACUGACGCUGAGGCGCGAAAGCGUGGGGAGCAAACAGG
RNAcentral lists this ribosomal RNA (253 nucleotides) under uncultured bacterium. RNAcentral's name for it is "partial 16S ribosomal RNA". It matches the Rfam family "Bacterial small subunit ribosomal RNA", at positions 524 to 776 of the family's 1533-position model. The record is from RNAcentral.